GACUCUGCUUUUAAUUUAAAAAUCUCCUUUUUUUCUCUAGGGAUGUUGCUGCUGAUAGCUAAAAAUGAUCAAAUUCUUACCAUAUGCCAGACCUUAUGCUGGACAAUUCACUGACAUUAUCCCAUGUAGUAGGCAGAAUUCUAACGUGACCCCCAAGAUCCCCCACCUUCUGUGUAAUCCCCAGGAUUGUCAAUAUGAUGGAUUUCAUUCUGGUAAACAGGUUUUGUUAUAUGGCACAGAUGACUUUAAGACAGGGAGGCUUUAAAUCUGUGACUAGCAUAAGACAUAUGGAAGGCAGAGAUUCAAAAUAUAAGAGGGAUCUGACGCACCACUACUGGCUUGAAAAUGGAGGGGACCACAUGGCAGAGGACGCACACAGCCUCUAGUUGCUGAGGCUGGUCUCCAGCUGACAGCGGCAAGGUAACAGGGGCCUCAGUCCUACAACCACAAGGAACUGAACUCUGCCAACAUACCGAAAGAGCUUGAAGGAGGAGCGUAAGCCUCAGGGGAAUGAUCGGGGUGUUGGCUUUGGCCACAUCAGUGUCACUGAGCUUCUUCACAGCCUGUUUGAUCUGGUGCUUGUUGGCUUUGAUAUCCACAAUGGACACAAGCUGCGUUGUUGUCUUCUAUCUUCUUCAUGGCUGACUCAGUGGUUGGGGGAACCUAAUGAUGAAUUAUUGGUCAAGCUUGUUUCUCCUGGGAGUGCUCUUCCAAGGAUAUUUCUGCUGCCUCCAGAGCCACACUGUCUUGGGCCACUGGAAGGUGGGUGAUGUGUGGAUUGGAUCUUCUUUUUGUGGCAGUGGACACCUUUAAGCACUGCCUUCCUGGCCUUCAAAGUGUUCGCUUUGGCUUCAGCUUUGGGAAGGGCAAGAACUUUUUUCACUUUUGGUGCCACAGUUUGAAAAUGAGGACCUAUGUUGAGGCCUCACUUCUCUAGAAGCCAGCUGUGUGCCCUCAGGAAAGUCAAUUAAUCACUCUGAGCCUCAGUUUUUAUAAUCUGUAUGAGGCGCACUAAGAAUUUCUGCAUUAUAACCCUUGAAAGGCUGCAGCUGAUGAUCCCAUAAAAGUGUGUGAGGGGCCACUGUGAAUGAAGUCCAUAGGGCAGACAGAGGCACCUGGAUGCCAUGUAGGUAUCAUUUUCUUUUCUUGAUGACUGCCAAUUUCAGUGUCCUCUGCCUAUAGGCUGGAUAUGAUCACUCUGACGGCUUGUUUGGAGGAAGUCAUUUUAAAUAGGUUUUUUUUCUGAGAGGAAAUGAUUCUUUAUUACAUUUAUUGAAAAACUACAGAAUAAGAUGGAAUGUAAUUAUUUUUUCUUGAAUUCUUUAAAAGUUAGUUGACUAUUAAAAGCCAAAAUAAUAACAA
Long non-coding RNA from Symphalangus syndactylus (siamang), 1362 nucleotides. RefSeq lists it as uncharacterized. The record is from RefSeq and is a predicted model, not a curated record. NCBI's taxonomy places the organism in Eukaryota, Metazoa, Chordata, Mammalia, Primates, Hylobatidae.